GGUCUGCUUCUUGUGGGUGUACUUGACCUCGGCCUUCUUGGUGAUCUUCUCGCGGAACGCCACCUGCGGCGCGCCGAUGUUGGCGUCGACCUUGUAGGUANGGCGGAGAAUGUCGACCUUGAUGUCGAGAUGGAGUUCGCCCAUGCCCUUGAGAAUGGUCUGGCCGGACUCGUGAUCGGUCGACACCCGGAACGACGGAUCUUCCGCCGCGAGUUUCGCCAGNAACGCCCAGCUUUUCCUGAUCGGCCUUCGACUUCGGCUCGAUCGCGAUUUCGAUCACCGGC
Molecule: unclassified non-coding RNA, 284 nt
Filed under: Hevea brasiliensis (rubber tree)
Lineage: Eukaryota; Viridiplantae; Streptophyta; Magnoliopsida; Malpighiales; Euphorbiaceae
Source: RNAcentral